Molecule: long non-coding RNA, 429 nt
Organism: Hippocampus comes (tiger tail seahorse)
Lineage: Eukaryota; Metazoa; Chordata; Actinopteri; Syngnathiformes; Syngnathidae
Exons: 3
Source: RefSeq, a predicted model, not a curated record
UGGUUACGUCAUAUAUUUGAUCUAAACAAGUCCCUCCAGUCAAGUAUUUUCAAGGAGCUUGAACGCCACAACCUUGCGCAAGAAACGAGCAUUUCGCUCAGCUGUGUGCGUGUGUUAUUACACAUCCACUUACCAGCCAGCCGUCGCAUGUGCGCGUGUGGGUCAGCCAUAUUGGAGCGGUACAAAUAGUCAGAGAGAUGAAUAAACACACCACUAAAAACAGUUUCGCGUUCAACUGGCUAGAGUCAAGCGACCACUUGGUACAAGUUCUGGAUGAGCAUCUUCUGCGUGGAGAGCUCGCUGCUGAGUGACGGUCCCGAGCUGGAUUGGCUCGGUGCAUUCUGCCUGCGUCCACAAGCUCGUCGUCGUGUUUGCUCUUCAGCAGCAUGGAGGAAACCUGAGUUUUCAGGGUUUUUAUGUCAGCAGACA